This is an unclassified non-coding RNA of Callithrix jacchus (white-tufted-ear marmoset), 299 nucleotides long. It matches the Rfam family "Metazoan signal recognition particle RNA". From Rfam's summary of the family: The signal recognition particle (SRP) is a universally conserved ribonucleoprotein. NCBI's taxonomy places the organism in Eukaryota, Metazoa, Chordata, Mammalia, Primates, Cebidae. The record is from Ensembl.
ACCAGGCAUGGUGAUGCGUGCCUGUAGUCCCAGCUACUUGGGAGGCUGAGGUGGGAGGAGCACUUGGGUCCAGGAGUUCUGGGCUGCAGUGCGCUAUGCCGGUCGGGUGUCCACACUGCAUUCGGCAUCAAUAUGGUGACCUCCCGGGAGCGGGGACCACCAGCCUGCCUAAGGAGGGGUGAACCGGCCCAGGUCGGAAACGGAGCAGGUCAAAACUCCCAUGCUGAUCAGUAGUGGGAUCACGCCUGUGAAUAGCCCCUGUGCUCCAGCCUGGGCAACGUAGCGAGACCCCGUCUCUA